GCCGGGCAUGGUGGCUCAUGCCUGUAAUCCCAGCACUUUGGGAGGCUGAGGUGGGUGGAUCACUUGAGGUCAGGAGUUUGAGACCAGCCUGACCAACAUGGUGAAACCCUGUCUCUA
This 117-nucleotide small RNA is filed under the name Pongo abelii (Sumatran orangutan). RNAcentral describes it as "Metazoan signal recognition particle RNA (ENSPPYG00000038486.1)". Lineage: Eukaryota; Metazoa; Chordata; Mammalia; Primates; Hominidae. The record is from Rfam by way of RNAcentral.